UACGAAGGGGGCGAGCGUUGUUCGGAUUUACUGGGCAUAAAGGGCGCGCAGGCGGCUUAUUUUGUCAGGCGUGAAAGCCCCGGGCUUAACCUGGGAACUGCGUUUGAUACGGAUGGGCUAGAGUUCGGGAGAGGAGAGUGGAAUUCCCAGUGUAGAGGUGAAAUUCGUAGAUAUUGGGAAGAACACCGGUGGCGAAGGCGGCUCUCUGGACCGAUACUGACGCUGAGGCGCGAAAGCGUGGGGAGCAAACAGG
RNAcentral lists this ribosomal RNA (253 nucleotides) under uncultured bacterium. RNAcentral's name for it is "partial 16S ribosomal RNA". It matches the Rfam family "Bacterial small subunit ribosomal RNA", at positions 524 to 776 of the family's 1533-position model. The record is from RNAcentral.